This is a long non-coding RNA of Panonychus citri (citrus red mite), 958 nucleotides long. RefSeq lists it as uncharacterized. The record is from RefSeq and is a predicted model, not a curated record. NCBI's taxonomy places the organism in Eukaryota, Metazoa, Arthropoda, Arachnida, Trombidiformes, Tetranychidae. The transcript is spliced from 3 exons.
UUACUUGCUCCAAUCAAUUUCUUCAGGUAAAAUUUGACAUUUGAAGAAUAUUAAACCAAUGGUUCCUAGUGAAUUAUCUUCGUCUAAAUAUAAAAGAAUAGAAUUUCUUUAUUUUCUCUCUUGUUAUUUUUUGUUCUCUCAUUUAUACCUUUUCCUUUAGAUACUUCAAGCUGUGUAUUAAUAUUUGAAACCAUUUAUCCAGAGGGAGAAAAAAAAACCAACAAGGAGAAGGUGAAAUUACCAGUUACCAUAUGAAUACUUUGUACAAUGUAACCCAACACACAAAACAAAUUAAUACAAAAGGAUAAAAAGAAAAGGAGAAGGAGCAAGAGCAAAAAAGAAUUGAAAAAGAAGAAAGAAAAGACCAAAGAGGAGUAAAAGUGAAUUAAAAGUUACUGUAGCAUUUAUUACACGGUUUUCGAUGAUAAAUUACUUUGCUAUAUGGAUCAUGAUAAUGGUGAUGGUUGUGUGGCGGUGACGGUAUGGAAACCGUAUCAACAUAAAUGACUGAGAAACAAUUAGUUUAAUUAACUUAAAUGAAGCUAAUCAUAGAGGAAAAAGAAAAGGAUAACAAUUACCAAGACAAGAAACAAGGAUGAUGUUAUAAAGCCAUUGGAGAGAAAACCAAAGCCAAAGUGAAAAUUAAUGUAAAAGGUAACAUAUAACAAAGGAGGAGAAAAAUUCAUAUGGAAAAUUGAACCGAAACAAAAGCCUCAAACACUUUGGUGGAUCCAAUCGAUUGAUAAUCAAUUGUCUUGAAUCAAUAAUAUAUUUACUCUUAUGUACAGCCUCGAAAAUUAAGAUCGACUACACUUUUAAAUGAGAAUACGCAUAGAAUUGAUAUCUUAUCAAUUAUGUAAUGAAUUCACAUUGAAAAUCGAGAUAAUGAUAAUAGUUUGAUCGUUAUCUCAAUAAAAGUUUAUUUACAAUAAACUAAAAAUUGAAAUGAAAUAUGGAA